GGAAGGGCGGGCGGCGGGACGAGGCGUUGGGCCGCCCGGCAGGAGAGCGCAGGAGCGGAGGCGGGCGCGGACGCGAGGCGGCGUGAUGCCACCGCCUCUCCCAGACGAAAACCCCGCGCUCCCGCCAGGGAGCCGCAGCUGGCAGGCCUGGGAAUGCGGACUGCUCCCCAUAGAGCGGUGUGCUGAGCUGUGUGGGCAUGGCUGUCAUUUAAGCUGGUUCCAGUCAUCUGGUAGAUUGUAAUCAGCCACGAAGAGGACAUUUCCACUGAAAAGACUUGUAAAGCCUGUAAACAGGACUUGGAUGUCUCACCUCUCUCUACUGGGUCUGGUUGCCAAGAGUCGCUUUAUAAACUGACGUUUAGAAAGGACUAAAGGGCUCCUCCCGGUGCAGGAGCAUAAGGGAAAAGUUUUUUUUUUUGUUGUUGUUGUUUUAAGAACACAUGCUCCUGUAAACUUCUCUGAAACUCCUCACAUAUACACAAAUCAUCAAAUACAGAUAUUAAUUAAUGUGCAAAAAGACUGGAAGACUCUAAGACCGGUAGGCACCAACUUGUCCACAAGCCUCACCAACUCAGGGACCCUGAACUGGAAGAGAAUUAAAGAAUUCCUUGCUCAGCCAAAGACCUGCAGAUGACAUCAGGACAUUCGUUGACACUGUGAGAGAGAAAUAGUGGCCAGUAAGCCAUGGGACUUACAGUUUGUUUUUAUAAAGAAAGAAAAUUUAGUGGACCCAAAAGGAGCACCUUGUACUUCUGAUUUACCUAUUAUGAAACACAGUAGUUGAGUUUAAUAUUUGGUAACUUUUUACUGAAAUAACUGCAGUGAAAUAAUAUAUGCAAUGUUAUUCAUUGCAACAUCAUUGUGAAAGCUAAGUUUAUUAGUAAGAGCCUGGAUAAAGAAGUAAUGACAUUUUGCUUAGUGAGAUAUUGCGCAUGUGUAAAGAAGAAUGAAGCUCAAUAUGACUGGACGUGUGAAAACCUCUGAAUAUGAUCAAUAAAAAUUAACUGUAAGAUGAUACAGUAUAUUAUCAUCUAAAAACUAUCAUUAAACUAGUUUUCUCUUCAUUGUGGUUAAAAUUAAAUGAAGAAAUGUGUCAGGGAAGGUGAAGUAGAAGGGCCUUUUCCUAGC
This is a long non-coding RNA of Alexandromys fortis (reed vole), 1128 nucleotides long. RefSeq lists it as uncharacterized. The record is from RefSeq and is a predicted model, not a curated record. The transcript is spliced from 3 exons. NCBI's taxonomy places the organism in Eukaryota, Metazoa, Chordata, Mammalia, Rodentia, Cricetidae.